AUUGAACGCUGGCGGCAGGCCUAACACAUGCAAGUCGAGCGAGUGGCGGACGGGUGAGUAAUGUCUGGGAAACUGCCUGAUGGAGGGGGAUAACUACUGGAAACGGUAGCUAAUACCGCAUACCAUCAGAUGUGCCCAGAUGGGAUUAGCUAGUAGGUGGGGUAACGGCUCACCAAGGCGACGAUCCCUAGCUGGUCUGAGAGGAUGACCAGCCACAAUGGAACUGAGACACGGUCCAGACUCCAACGGGAGGCAGCAGUUGGGAACAUUGAACAAUGGGCGCAAGCCUGAUGCAGCCAUGCCGCGUGUGUGAAGAAGGCCUUCGGGUUGUAAAGCACUUUCAGCGGGGAGGCGUUACCCGAAGAAGAAGCACCGGCUAACUCCGUGCCAGCAGCCGCGGUAAUAC
RNAcentral lists this ribosomal RNA (406 nucleotides) under uncultured bacterium. RNAcentral's name for it is "partial 16S ribosomal RNA". It matches the Rfam family "Bacterial small subunit ribosomal RNA", at positions 30 to 526 of the family's 1533-position model. The record is from RNAcentral.